Molecule: RNA transcript, 2553 nt
Organism: Hipposideros armiger (great roundleaf bat)
Lineage: Eukaryota; Metazoa; Chordata; Mammalia; Chiroptera; Hipposideridae
Gene: ZFP41
Gene name: ZFP41 zinc finger protein
Exons: 4
Source: RefSeq, a predicted model, not a curated record
GGCAGCGGGACCUUCCGGCGGGAGCCGAGGCCCGGCUCUCGGCUGGGCAGCCCCCCAGGGCCGGCCCGGGAGGCCCGGGGUGUGGCGGGGCCCGGCAAGGGGGGGCGCCCCCUCCCCGCCCAGGGCCCCCGCGAGGGGCGCGCCCGCCUCCAGCCAGGGACAACCCGAGUCCCCCCGGCGCGGCGUCGGAGGCGUCCGCAGGCAUCAGCCUCCCCCUCUAGAGGCCGGGCGAGGAUCAGUCCCGCGCCACGAGGUGAAGGCGUCGCCCCGGGCCCUGCACGCGCAGCUGGCGAGGCUCUGUCGUCGGCGGGGCGCGUCGCGCGCCGCCCUGCUCGGGGGCCCCUGUCCCCGGCCUCGGCACAGCUGCUGGCCGCUGCAGGCCGGGGCCCAACAGACUGUUUGGGUGCAUGUUGGCCCCUGGAUCUCAAACCCACUGGUAAUCCGGUCUCUCCUUGAGACCCGUGCUCCUGGAGGCAGCGAGGGUGGGAGCUUGGGUGAGUGAGUUUUCCGGAAGCCCGGCUGCUCGUGGAUACCCAAAGCUGCGUGUUCCGAGAGGUCUGGUCAGAGCGCAGAGGAGCGACCCUGAAGCUGCGCAGCAGGUACCAGCACCCAGCCUGGGGCCAGGGCGCUCUGCUCCCGCGUGUGGACUGAGUUGUGUGUGUGGCCGUAGCAAUCACCGGUGUCUGCAGUCCUGUGAAAUGAGGGGACCAAGACGAUGACCUCUAGUCUACUCCGUUUGAACGACCUUUUUAUUGGUGUGCAUGGCACGCAGAGACUUGAGUAAAUCCUGUCUCAGCCAUUAAGCACCUGCCGCCAUGAGUUGGGCAGACAAAACAAUUGUUUGGAAGGUUUACUGAGCACCGGUUUCCUGUCCCAGAGCUUUCAUUACAGGCUCAGAAAAGUAAUGAGUGGUGUGCAAAGCAAGACAUUUCUGAAGAAGUGGAGUUACAAAGAAAGGACGUCGUAGUCUGGGGACGUGUGCCCCGGUCUUUCUCCUCAGUUAGCUCUUACUGGCUUCCCAACGUCCCUCCUCUCCUGGGAACAGAGAAAGAUGGAAAAGCCCAUGGGCCAAAGAAAGAAGACACAGAGCCCAGAGGAAGACGUAGGUGUGCAGAAGGACACUGCUAAGGAAGAAAAGGUGUGCGGGGCAAAACGGCCCAGCAAGAGAGGCACUUUGGCUAAAAAGCACAGUAAGGCACCCAGCCUGAGUCCUGAAGAUGAGGAACACAUCUUUGAUGCUUUCGAUGCUUCCUUUAAAGAUGACUUUGAGGGAGUUCCCGUAUUCAUUCCUUUUCAGAGAAAGAAACCCUACGAGUGCAGCGAGUGUGGCCGCAUCUUUAAGCACAAGACAGACCACAUUCGCCAUCAGCGAGUUCACACCGGAGAGAAGCCCUUCCAGUGCACUCAGUGUGGAAAGACAUUUCGGCACAGCUCCGAUGUCACGAAGCACCAAAGAAUUCACACGGGAGAAAAGCCCUUUAAAUGCAGCGACUGCGGGAAAGCCUUUAACUGUGGCUCGAAUCUCCUGAAACAUCAGAAGACACACACUGGAGAGAAACCGUAUGAAUGUAAGGAAUGCGGGAAGACCUUUGCCUACAGCUCGUGUCUUAUCCGCCAUCGGAAGCAGCACCCAUGGAAGAAGCACUGAGCACAGGGAACCGGUCUGCUUGGCCUCUUGCUGCCGCCUCUGCCUGCGGCGUCCACUGGGCUUUGGCCUUCUCACCUGCUCCUUGAAGACGCUGGUCUGCAGACUCGUGGCCCACUGGGUCCCAAGCCCAUACCCAUGCAGCCUGGCCUGUGACCCCAAGCUACAUGGCAGUGCUCCUGCGGUGAGCACUAGGGACCUGGGUGCCCACUAGACUGGGCCAGACUUCCACUGUCCCUGCUUGGCUGGCUGCGGUGACAGUCCUUGUCAGGCUGGAGCACCAGUCCUUGAACUCAGCCCCUGUCCCCAGGAGCUGGGAUCCCCUGUGUGUCCUCCCGGCCCAGCCGUCACCUCAGAUAAAUGGCCUCACAUACCCAUAUGGACCACUUGGGACCCAGCUCCUCAGGGCCUGAAUGCUGCCACCAUGGGAGCUUUGUGCCCUGGCCACAUGAUGGGGGCUCUGGGAUGCUGACAGCAGCUUCGAUCCAGCCCGCAUCUGCCACACAGGAGACCUUCAGACACGAGGUGGUGUGCCCUGCCCCCCAGGGGCCAGCUCUCCAUUCAGGGCCGACAGGACGGGUCCCCAGAGGGGAAGGACAGGUGGAGAUCAUUCUGACAAACACCCUCCUCCAGGCUGUGCCCAGCAGCGCCCUGCAGCGCCCAGACCCUGGCCUCACUGGCAGCAGGCAGACAGAUGGGCUCAUCGUUAUUUCUUUUGAGUUCUCCAUCACAACAUCACACCACCACCGAGCACCGAGGCCAGAUCUUUCAGAUUAGUCUCUGUUUUGGUGUUUUUUGUCGAUGUUCAAAUGAUACUCACAUGCCAGAAAAAAGAAAACCUUCGGAAUAACCCAAGUCAAGGAAAACAACAUAAUGAAAGUUAUAAAAUACGUAAGCCUCAAUGACAG